This 137-nucleotide ribosomal RNA is filed under the name candidate division WWE3 bacterium. Its description in RNAcentral is "partial 23S ribosomal RNA". It matches the Rfam family "Bacterial large subunit ribosomal RNA", at positions 2784 to 2925 of the family's 2925-position model. The record is from RNAcentral. Lineage: Bacteria; candidate division WWE3.
AGCACGAAGCAAACCUCAAGAUUAGAGCCGUUCCGCUUUAAGCGGACACAAUUCCUGGGAGAUUACCAGGUUGAUAGGCCGUAGGUGUAAGCACAGCAAUGUGUUCAGCCAAGCGGUACUAAUUAUUUGUGAAUCUU